This 743-nucleotide long non-coding RNA is filed under the name Sus scrofa (pig). RNAcentral's name for it is "lncRNA (ENSSSCG00025062875.1, ENSSSCG00030057594.1)". The record is from RNAcentral. Lineage: Eukaryota; Metazoa; Chordata; Mammalia; Artiodactyla; Suidae.
AUGCCCCUCUGUGCGUUCAUGCAGAUGAAGGAAUUCGGUGCAGAGAGGACCUGUGACCUGCCCAGGGCUGCAGGCAGCAGACGGCAGUCACGCCUGGUCUCCGCAGCCUCCAAGCCUCGGACAAGUGAAAUGGCAGAGACUGGCUAUUGUGCCUUUGGAGGGGAUUACUUUGAAUGGUCUGGAAAAGCUGAGAGGACACCAGGUCUGAUCCCUGUCCCCAGCCUACACUGUGAUGUCAUGGUUGGUAUAUUCUUAGUUAUCUCUUUCUUCCCUGGGACUCAUAGCCUACUUUUGCUCCCUUUUAAGUUAAAAACUAAACCUUAAUUAUACAGAGAGAAUCACUAGAUGGGACAUGAUUCGCCAAGAAAGUGGUGGGGGGGAGGGAGGGUGAUAACAACACAUUGACCAUCGAUAAAUCAGCUCCCAGGCUGUCCUGUCCUGUGACCUAUGUAAUGGGUAUUCUCUAGACCCUCAGCUAGGCAGAAAGCUCUUCAAGACUUGGGAUUUUUUCUUUCUUCCCUGCCCAGUCCCUGUCCCACUUCUCUCACACUUGGUACUAUUAAGCUCUUAAUAAUAACAAUGACAAACACUGGGCACCUGCUCUGUGCAGUCCAGGUGUUGAAGUUUCAUUCUGGUCGACACAGGCUGGGCCCCUGAAGACCUCUGUCUUCUCAGCUCCAACACUUCCCUCUCUGGGAUCCGACCACACCAGCCUUUUUUCCGUUUCUUGAACCCACUGAACC